RNAcentral lists this ribosomal RNA (254 nucleotides) under uncultured bacterium. Its description in RNAcentral is "partial 16S ribosomal RNA". It matches the Rfam family "Bacterial small subunit ribosomal RNA", at positions 524 to 776 of the family's 1533-position model. The record is from RNAcentral.
UACGUAGGGUGCGAGCGUUGUCCGGAAUUAUUGGGCGUAAAGAGCUCGUAGGCGGUGUGUCGCGUCGGUCGUGAAAACUUGGGGCUUAACCCUGAGCUUGCGGUCGAUACGGGCAUCACUGGAGUUCGGCAGGGGAGACUGGAAUUCCUGGUGUAGCGGUGAAAUGCGCAGAUAUCAGGAGGAACACCGGUGGCGAAGGCGGGUCUCUGGCCCGGAACUGACGCUGAGACGCGAAAGCGUGGGGAGCAAACAGG